Molecule: unclassified non-coding RNA, 309 nt
Filed under: uncultured Pleosporales
Lineage: Eukaryota; Fungi; Ascomycota; Dothideomycetes; Pleosporales
Description: sequence contains ITS1
Rfam family: 5.8S ribosomal RNA (bases 1-105)
Source: RNAcentral
GAAAUGCGAUAAGUAGUGUGAAUUGCAGAAUUCAGUGAAUCAUCGAAUCUUUGAACGCACAUUGCGCCCUUUGGUAUUCCAAAGGGCAUGCCUGUUCGAGCGUCAUUUGUACCCUCAAGCUUUGCUUGGUGUUGGGCGUCUUUUUGUCUCCCCUUGCGGGAGACUCGCCUUAAAGUCAUUGGCAGCCGGCCUACUGGUUUCGGAGCGCAGCACAAGUCGCGCUCUCUUCCAGCCCCAAGGUCUAGCAUCCAACAAGCCUUUUUUUCAACUUUUGACCUCGGAUCAGGUAGGGAUACCCGCUGAACUUAA